GGGCCCGGUUACUCAAUGAAACAAUGCUAAAACUCUUUUUUUUUUACUAAGGGGAACUUUUGUAUACUUCGACCUUUCCACUCAACUCCCAUGAAGCAGAUUCUUCAUUGAAAUCAGUAAGAAGAGGUUUUAAAAUCACUCCAAAAUUUAUUCUGAUCUAAACCCUACCAUUUAUUGGGCUUUCUUAAUAAUUUGCCCCUCAAUAUCUUUAAAAUUAUCUAAACCAUUAAUCAUUCAUCAAUUAGAAUACCUGAUUUACUUCAAAUCAAGAUAAAAUUUGGUACAC
Molecule: long non-coding RNA, 286 nt
Filed under: Elaeis guineensis (African oil palm)
Lineage: Eukaryota; Viridiplantae; Streptophyta; Magnoliopsida; Arecales; Arecaceae
Description: long non-coding RNA (EGUI_LNC035304)
Source: RNAcentral